AUUGAACGCUGGCGGAAUGCUUUACACAUGCAAGUCGAACGGCAGCACGGACUUCGGUCUGGUGGCGAGUGGCGAACGGGUGAGUAACAUAUCGGAACGUAUCCAAUAAUGGGGGAUAACUAAUCGAAAGGUUGGCUAAUACCGCAUACGCCCUACGGGGGAAAGCAGGGGAUCUUCGGACCUUGCGUUAAUGGAGCGGCUGAUAUCUGAUUAGCUAGUUGGUGAGGUAAAGGCUCACCAAGGCGACGAUCAGUAGCUGGUCUGAGAGGACGACCAGCCACACUGGAACUGAGACACGGUCCAGACUCCUACGGGAGGCAGCAGUGGGGAAUUUUGGACAAUGGGCGCAAGCCUGAUCCAGCCAUUCCGCGUGAGUGAAGAAGGCCUUCGGGUUGUAAAGCUCUUUCGCAAGGGAAGAAAACUUACUUUCUAAUAAAGAGUGAGGUUGACGGUACCUUGAUAAGAAGCACCGGCUUACUACGUGCCAGCCGCUGCGGUAA
This 500-nucleotide ribosomal RNA is filed under the name uncultured bacterium. RNAcentral describes it as "partial 16S ribosomal RNA". It matches the Rfam family "Bacterial small subunit ribosomal RNA", at positions 30 to 523 of the family's 1533-position model. The record is from RNAcentral.